CAGAAAUUUUAGCUCACCUUGCUCUCUUUGUCUCUCAAGGAAAGAGCUAGGAAGCUCUCUUAGGUCCACUUUGUCAAGCCCAUGGGUCCACAAAUUAAAAGAGAGAUAAGGCUUCAUCAUCUUUUCUUCUUUCUACUCUUUUAGAAGCAACUAGAAUAGUUAAGAGCUCUCUCCCUCUUUCAUUCCUACGGGUCCAACACCAAAAGAAGGAAAAGCUCUCAAUUAUUUUCUCCCUUUCACACCUACAUGUCCAGCAGCAAGAAGGAAGCUUCUUUCAACUCUCUCAAGCUCUCUACCUCUCAUACUUUCUAGUCCAGCCACUAGGAAAGGGAAAUCCUUUCAUGUGUUACCAGUAUCCAAGUCUAAGCUCCUUCGACUUUAGGCUCUCAGUUCCUCUGCUUUCAAGUAAGGGAUAAGUUAUAUGGGUAUUUGUUAGCAGGUUUUAUUUUGGAGCAGAGGAAGCCUGAGUCGAGUUUUGGAAGGAGCUGGUUUUAGUUUUAUAUGUAUAGAUCCUAAAUUAGCAAUAUGAUGUUUAGAUUUGUAGCAUUGUGUAUUUUAGGUCUAAUGAAAGUGCAUACCUUAAAGUAUUAAGAGAUGUAUUAUGUGAAAUUCUGAAUUUGAACAAUUGGUGGAUUAUGUCAAUCUUUGAGUACAAUGUAGAUGCUCUGAAUAUCAAGUGAAACGUUAUAUCA
Molecule: long non-coding RNA, 692 nt
Organism: Quercus robur (English oak)
Lineage: Eukaryota; Viridiplantae; Streptophyta; Magnoliopsida; Fagales; Fagaceae
Exons: 3
Source: RefSeq, a predicted model, not a curated record